CCUACGGGAGGCAGCAGUGAGGAAUAUUGGUCAAUGGACGAGAGUCUGAACCAGCCAAGUAGCGUGAAGGAUGACUGCCCUAUGGGUUGUAAACUUCUUUUAUAUGGGAAUAAAAUGUUUCACGUGUGGGAUUUUGUAUGUACCAUAUGAAUAAGGAUCGGCUAACUCCGUGCCAGCAGCCGCGGUAAUACGGAGGAUCCGAGCGUUAUCCGGAUUUAUUGGGUUUAAAGGGAGCGUAGGUGGAUUGUUAAGUCAGUUGUGAAAGUUUGCGGCUCAACCGUAAAAUUGCAGUUGAAACUGGCAGUCUUGAGUACAGUAGAGGUGGGCGGAAUUCGUGGUGUAGCGGUGAAAUGCUUAGAUAUCACGAAGAACUCCGAUUGCGAAGGCAGUUCACUGGACUGCAACUGACACUGAGGCUCGAAAGUGUGGGUAUCAAACAGGAUUAGAUACCCGUGUAGUC
This 460-nucleotide ribosomal RNA is filed under the name uncultured bacterium. Its description in RNAcentral is "partial 16S ribosomal RNA". It matches the Rfam family "Bacterial small subunit ribosomal RNA", at positions 338 to 795 of the family's 1533-position model. The record is from RNAcentral.